This 249-nucleotide long non-coding RNA is filed under the name Mytilus galloprovincialis (Mediterranean mussel). The record is from RNAcentral. Lineage: Eukaryota; Metazoa; Mollusca; Bivalvia; Mytilida; Mytilidae.
AAAAUCAAUUUGGCUCGUUUAAUUUUCAUAAAAUUUUGACAAAGUAUUUAUUUUGACCCUUUGGCAAAAAUAUUAAAAUUUCAAAAAAUUUGAACCAACCGUUUUAUCAGAAAAAUUACACUGGUUAUAUAGCAGUUUGACAAACACUUAUUUUGAUGAUUGAGAAGCUUAAUAUUUCCUAAAGACACAGCGUAAUUAAAACGUUUAGCUGAUUUUACAUAGUUAUCUCCCUGUAGUGUUAGGUAGCAC